This 549-nucleotide ribosomal RNA is filed under the name uncultured bacterium. RNAcentral's name for it is "bacterial SSU rRNA". It matches the Rfam family "Bacterial small subunit ribosomal RNA", at positions 355 to 896 of the family's 1533-position model. The record is from RNAcentral.
UAGGGAAUCUUCCACAAUGGGUGCAAACCUGAUGGAGCAAUGCCGCGUGAGUGAAGAAGGUCUUCGGAUCGUAAAGCUCUGUUGUUAGAGAAGAACACGUGCUAGGUAACUACUAGCGCCUUGACGGUAUCUAACCAGAAAGUCACGGCUAACUACGUGCCAGCAGCCGCGGUAAUACGUAGGUGACAAGCGUUGUCCGGAUUUAUUGGGCGUAAAGGGAGCGCAGGCGGUCUGUUUAGUCUAAUGUGAAAGCCCACGGCUUAACCGUAGAACGGCAUUGGAAACUGACAGACUUGAAUGUAGAAGAGGAAAAUGGAAUUCCAAGUGUAGCGGUGGAAUGCGUAGAUAUUUGGAGGAACACCAGUGGCGAAGGCGAUUUUCUGGUCUAACAUUGACGCUGAGGCUCGAAAGCGUGGGGAGCGAACAGGAUUAGAUACCCUGGUAGUCCACGCCGUAAACGAUGAGUGCUAAGUGUUGGGGGCUUUCCGGCCCUCGGUGCUGGAGCUAACGUAUUAAGCACUCCGCCUGGGGAUUACGACCGCAAGGUUG